AACGCGUAUAGAAUCUACCUCUUACUAAGGGAUAGCCCACACAAAUUUGGAUUAAUAUCUUAUAGUAUACAGACCUGGCAUCAGGAUUGUAUUAAAGGUUACGGUAAGAGAUGACUAUGCGUCCUAUUAGCUAGAUGGUGUGGUAACGGCACACCAUGGCUACGAUAGGUAGGGGCCCUGAGAGGGGGAUCCCCCACACUGGUACUGAGACACGGACCAGACUCCUACGGGAGGCAGCAGUGAGGAAUAUUGGACAAUGGAGGCAACUCUGAUCCAGCCAUGCCGCGUGCAGGAAGACUGCCCUAUGGGUUGUAAACUGCUUUUAUACAGGAAGAAACACUCUCACGUGUGAGAGCUUGACGGUACUGUAAGAAUAAGGAUCGGCUAACUCCGUGCCAGCAGCCGCGGUAAUACGGAGGAUCCAAGCGUUAUCCGGAAUCAUUGGGUUUAAAGGGUCCGUAGGUGGAUGAUUAAGUCAGAGGUGAAAUCCUGCAGCUCAACUGUAGAAUUGCCUUUGAUACUGGUUGUCUUGAGUUAUUAUGAAGUAGUUAGAAUAUGUAGUGUAGCGGUGAAAUGCAUAGAUAUUACAUAGAAUACCAAUUGCGAAGGCAGAUUACUAAUAAUAUACUGACACUGAUGGACGAAAGCGUGGGGAGCGAACAGGAUUAGAUACCCUGGUAGUCCACGCCGUAAACGAUGGUCACUAGCUGUUCGGACUUCGGUUUGAGUGGCUAAGCGAAAGUGAUAAGUGACCCACCUGGGGAGUACGUUCGCAAGAA
This 779-nucleotide ribosomal RNA is filed under the name Flavobacteriaceae bacterium ACEMC 9-10. RNAcentral describes it as "bacterial SSU rRNA". It matches the Rfam family "Bacterial small subunit ribosomal RNA", at positions 112 to 894 of the family's 1533-position model. Lineage: Bacteria; Pseudomonadati; Bacteroidota; Flavobacteriia; Flavobacteriales; Flavobacteriaceae. The record is from RNAcentral.